AAGACUAUAGACCUGCGGAGUACCUGCGGAGGGAUCAUUAUAGAGUGGUAAACCCCCCGUAAAAGGGGGGGACCUCCUGUCCUUUGUAGGCUCUUUUUUAAAAGGGCUUUUUUUAAUUUUCUGCUUCGGUGGGGUUAUCCCACCGGAACAACCUCAAAACUCUUAUCAAAAAAUCGUUCUGUCUGAGAACCUUUUAUAAUAAAAAAAAACUUUUAACAAUGGAUCUCUAGAUCGGAAGAG
RNAcentral lists this unclassified non-coding RNA (240 nucleotides) under soil metagenome. Its description in RNAcentral is "partial contains 5.8S ribosomal RNA, internal transcribed spacer 2, and large subunit ribosomal RNA". The record is from RNAcentral.